AAACAACGAUCGAUGGCUAGUCGCGCGGCAGCCGGCAGAGCAACGAUUUAUCGAUUCCAUUUCACGUCAUCGCACCACGUGUCACUAGAUAAUGCAAUUUGCCGCAAAUAGAAUCCAUCGCGGUAGUCCAUUACACUAUCGAGAAUCACUUUGUCCGAGUGUAUUAAUUCGAGAGCUUUGCACGGUGCAAGCUCGUUCGCGGAAUUUUCACCGAUAUCUUGGAAUUAUAUGUGACGAGCUUGCGUAUGAUCACCGGACAAAACGAGUGAUGUAGGAGGAUGUCAAAUAAGUUAAACGUUUGUCGUGACAUUUCGAGUAAAUGAAAACAUUGCUUGGUGAGCAUUUGUAGCUUCAAAUGGAAUUCUAAUAUUUCUGGAAUAUGUUAAUACUUUUUAAUAUUUACUUCUUAACAAAUAUAGACACGCGCAAAGGAUUACGAAAUAACGAAUUACAAAUAAUUUCGAUCUUUUCGAUCCUUCGUCAAAUUAACGGGCUGCUUCGUUUUCCAGUGAUUCGUGUAAACCGACGGAAAUCAACCGAAAAUCGAUCAGAUUCGAUCGAUAAUUUGUUAAGGUUUGUCUGCUUUUUGAUGAUUCGUAAAUGAAAGAAAAUUCGAUCUUUCGAAUGGAAUGGAAUUAAACUUCGAACGUAUAAAGCUUCUUCGAUUUAUCGUUCAGAAAAUUAGUCGAAACGGGUGAAAAUUCGGUUCUCAAGUCACGUACUUGCGUACGUGUGUAUGUGUAACAGAAGCAAAGUUUUGCAAGCGCCUCCAAUUGAACUUGCGCACGUCCUCGACUGUCGUUUAUCUGUCCAACUAUCUACAUUUAAUAUUUUUGACGGAAUUUUUUCAAGCACCGUAUUUUAUCCGUGCACGAGGUUUCUUUUUUACUCUCAUUGGAGAUAAAUUAGUAUUGAGAAAUGGGUUAUCACUUACGGUCACAACGUCAGCAAGGACUGUGCGGCCUGACGAGUCAAGGAGCAGAAACCUUGCAAAGUUCACGUUAAACGUUACCUUCUAUAGUAAGUAGCAUGCAGACCGCGAAAUCAAGCUAUCAUUGCGUCGCUGGCGAAUCGUAUGAACGGCUUCUUCGCUGACGAGAACGCUUCCAAUCGAAAGAUUACCACAAAUACGACACUUACGUUUCUUCUUCUGCAUCUUUCAUCCCUUUCAGCGUUUCGCUCUUCUUUACUGAUAAAAUUUAUCGAUAAUUAUUAGCCGAACUUUGACAUUCGCGUUUAUUCAUUUGCACCUUUCAAACCUUCGACAAUUUCAUUCUUGUUUAUUAAUAAAAUUUCAUAACAAUCAAUUCAAUAAUAAAACGACGGAGAAUUCAGGACGAACGAUUUGGGAAACAAUUAUCAUUUUAUCGUUAGAAGUUUCCAACAUUUCUCAUACGAAACUUUCAAUUCUUUCUACAAUUCCUAACGUUAUAUUUGAUAACGUGUUCUAAAGAUCAAUACUUGCCGAUCGCUCGAUUUCGAAUUGAAUUUUUACCGCCACCGUGAAGAAUGUAGAAUCGACAUUUCAAAAGUUUCGUCUGCUUUUACCCGAAUCUAUUCAGCUUUAUCUGACCACGGACACGCAUGGCAAACUUCCUUCACCUUGCAACUUCUCUUUAGCCUUUUCACGACGUCAAAUGAAACGGAGCCUAUUCCGAUAAGAUGGAACUCUAUAGAUAGAAAACAACACGACGUCCUCUGCGACGGUUAAUAAGCGAGGGUAUUUAGAUGCAGUCAUCGAAGAUGAACCGGCUUUUCGUACCCUGACCGAAAGUUCGUAUCCUUGACACAGAAAACGGCAGUAGUCUAAACCGAGGAAAGCGGCCGUUCCAUUUGCGAUUCAAAUACCAGAAGCAGCGAGGACGAGAAUGCCAGAGCAGCGAGGCGAACUAGGGGGUUCAAGAUCGCGACGCGACAUUUCCUCUUCGACAAUCGACCAUCCACUGUCUCUUCCUUCGGUUUUUCGCAGCCACUUUUUCAUUCUUUCUUCAUUUGCUUCGUUCUCCUUUCGAUAUUCGCUCGUCAUUGACCUAAUUUCCUCGUUACGCUUCUAUCUACGAUUACACGCGAUUUUUUUACCUACACGUUUCACACAGCGUGUGCUUGUCCUUCCGUGGAAGGAUUUAGAGUUUAUUUAUGUUGAAGGUAUGUCUAAUACAUCGUCCAUUUGGUUUCAUUAAGCGUAGCUUUUCUCAGAAUAAUGAAACAGAGUUGUUAUAACCUUCGAUAUUGUACUACAUCUGCAUGAUAAUGGCCCAGUUAUUUUUUAUGUGCAUGUAUAUACAAUAUGUGUAUAUAUAUAUAUAUUGACAUCGAAUACAUUAUUAUUAUUAUUAUCAUUGUUAUUGUUAUUAUGUACUGUUACGUGUGGAUAAACAAGACACUUUAUUUAUAAAAGAAUGUUUCAAAAGUGUGGCAACUCAGGAUAUUUGUAAACUCAGUCCAGUGUUAGAAGAACGUGGAAACUGUCAAGAGAAAAUUUUAAGGACCCAAUGUAAGAACGAAGAAUUAUAAAAAUUAAAAAUUGUUUCCUAGAAUCUAUUCGUUGUGUGUUUACAGCGAACGUCUAUUUCUUCUGUACGAAAUAGCUUUUCGUUAAUCGUCAAAUUAAGAUAAUUCUUCGAACCUGUAAAACAAGUUUGCGAAACGACGAACAUUCUGAAUCCUUCCUUAUUCCAUCGCACCAUCAAAGGAUUACAAAUAUUGAAGUUAUCGUAGUUUCGCUCGUAGAAACCUAUUCAACCAGCGAUCAAAGAAUUACUGUCAGCUUAUCACUUACCUCCUUUUCUCUAUGGAUGUUCGCAACUGAACUGGGCGAAAUUCUCGCGUAAACGUUCGUUCAGGGAAUAAUUUUCUCUCUCGGCCCCUACCGCACGAUCCUCGUGAACAAACACUAGCAAUGAUUUAUCAUAAAAGGAAAAAGGGGUUCGUGCGGUGGCGUAAGCGGUCGAAAUCGAAAUGUUAAUUCGCUGCUAUGGCAGAACGCGGCUCGAUAAACUGAGAUUUCCACAGUACCUAACCGAUAACUGUAAACACGCGGCUGAAAGUCGUCGCGAGCCGCGAACACGCGCAUGUAUGCGGAUCAACCUUGAUCCUUACAGACGUACAACCUCGGCCGCACGCGCUCAGACAUCGUAUUUGCAUUCGGUAAAAACUGUGGAUGAUCGUCGAUCAGCGAGAAAAAGAGACAGGAAAAAGAGAGGAACGGAAAAGUCAGCAAAAACACGGAGAGAAGAAAAAAGAGGUGGGACAUGUUUUCAUUCGUUUUUUCUCGAUCGACGAUGAUUGUGUUCUUUCGGAAUAAUCUCAAUUUAACUCUCGCGCGCGCGCGUGUGUGUGUGUGUUAAAGCACAAAUUCAAACUUUAUAAAUGAGUUGUGAAUUUUUUAAAAAUCAACUCUACUGUUCUAUGUGACCCGAAUUGUUAUUCAAAUGUAGACAGCGUUUAAUGAUUUUGUUUCAGUACACGAUAUGUGUGUUGAAAUUGGAUUAUUUUCGUGUAACUAGAAAAUCUGAACAAAAGAUAUCUUUGAUGAGGCGAAAACUCGAAGGGGAAAAAGCGAUCGUGAAGGAUGAUCGAGGAUUGGAAAUUCUUGUGGGACGUUAAAAAAGAAGGUGCUAGAGAAUUUUGAAAGAAUUUGGAAGGGACGUUUUCUCUAGCGAUUUUUCGAUUAGGAACGAAAAAUUUAGAAAGUUAAGGGCCACGACAUUUUUGUCGAAUGUCAUAGAAUCAAAUAUAUUUUUCUACGUAAAUUGUAA
Long non-coding RNA from Bombus terrestris (buff-tailed bumblebee), 3758 nucleotides. RefSeq lists it as uncharacterized. The transcript is spliced from 2 exons. Lineage: Eukaryota; Metazoa; Arthropoda; Insecta; Hymenoptera; Apidae. The record is from RefSeq and is a predicted model, not a curated record.